RNAcentral lists this ribosomal RNA (253 nucleotides) under uncultured bacterium. Its description in RNAcentral is "partial 16S ribosomal RNA". It matches the Rfam family "Bacterial small subunit ribosomal RNA", at positions 524 to 776 of the family's 1533-position model. The record is from RNAcentral.
UACGUAGGGUGCGAGCGUUGUCCGGAAUUAUUGGGCGUAAAGAGCUCGUAGGCGGCUUGUCACGUCGGUUGUGAAAGCCCGGGGCUUAACCCCGGGUCUGCAGUCGAUACGGGCAGGCUAGAGUUCGGUAGGGGAGAUCGGAAUUCCUGGUGUAGCGGUGAAAUGCGCAGAUAUCAGGAGGAACACCGGUGGCGAAGGCGGAUCCCUGGGCCGAUACUGACGCUGAGGAGCGAAAGCGUGGGGAGCGAACAGG